Molecule: ribosomal RNA, 484 nt
Filed under: uncultured bacterium
Lineage: Bacteria
Description: partial 16S ribosomal RNA
Rfam family: Bacterial small subunit ribosomal RNA
Source: RNAcentral
AUUGAACGCUGGCGGCAGGCCUAACACAUGCAAGUCGAGCGGAUGAAGGGAGCUUGCUCCUGGAUUCAGCGGCGGACGGGUGAGUAAUGCCUAGGAAUCUGCCUGGUAGUGGGGGAUAACGUCCGGAAACGGGCGCUAAUACCGCAUACGUCCUGAGGGAGCAAGUGGGGGAUCUUCGGACCUCACGCUAUCAGAUGAGCCUAGGUCGGAUUAGCUAGUUGGUGGGGUAAAGGCCUACCAAGGCGACGAUCCGUAACUGGUCUGAGAGGAUGAUCAGUCACACUGGAACUGAGACACGGUCAAGACUCCUACGGGAGGCAGCAGUGGGGAAUAUUGGACAAUGGGCGAAAGCCUGAUCCAGCCAUGCCGCGUGUGUGAAGAAGGUCUUCGGAUUGUAAAGCACUUUAAGUUGGGAGGAAGGGCAGUAAGUUAAUACCUUGCUGUUUUGACGUUACCAACAGAAUAAGCACCGGCUAACUUCGUG